Molecule: unclassified non-coding RNA, 335 nt
Filed under: soil metagenome
Description: partial contains 5.8S ribosomal RNA, internal transcribed spacer 2, and large subunit ribosomal RNA
Rfam family: 5.8S ribosomal RNA (bases 1-120)
Source: RNAcentral
GAUGAAGAACGUAGCGAAAUGCGAUAAGUAGUGUGAAUUGCAGAAUUCAGUGAAUCAUCGAAUCUUUGAACGCACAUUGCGCCCCUUGGUAUUCCAUGGGGCAUGCCUGUUCGAGCGUCAUUUGUACCUUCAAGCUCUGCUUGGUGUUGGGUGUUUGUCUCGCCUCUGCGUGUAGACUCGCCUCAAAACAAUUGGCAGCCGGCGUAUUGAUUUCGGAGCGCAGUACAUCUCGCGCUUUGCACUCAUAACGACGACGUCCAAAAGUACAUUUUUACACUCUUGACCUCGGAUCAGGUAGGGAUACCCGCUGAACUUAAGCAUAUCAAUAAGCAGGA